This is a transfer RNA of Smithella sp. SCADC, 73 nucleotides long. It matches the Rfam family "tRNA". From Rfam's summary of the family: Transfer RNA (tRNA) molecules are approximately 80 nucleotides in length. Their secondary structure includes four short double-helical elements and three loops (D, anti-codon, and T loops). NCBI's taxonomy places the organism in Bacteria, Pseudomonadati, Thermodesulfobacteriota, Syntrophia, Syntrophales, Smithellaceae. The record is from Rfam.
GGGGUUGUAGCUCAGCUGGGAGAGCGCUUGAAUGGCAUUCAAGAGGUCAGGAGUUCGAUCCUCCUCAGCUCCA